RNAcentral lists this ribosomal RNA (352 nucleotides) under uncultured bacterium. RNAcentral's name for it is "bacterial SSU rRNA". It matches the Rfam family "Bacterial small subunit ribosomal RNA", at positions 917 to 1267 of the family's 1533-position model. The record is from RNAcentral.
GGACCCGCACAAGCGGUGGAGCAUGUGGUUUAAUUCGAUGCAACGCGAAAAACCUUACCUACACUUGACAUACUUCGAAUUUUUCUAGAGAUAGAUUAGUGCCUUCGGGAGCGAAGAUACAGGUGCUGCAUGGCUGUCGUCAGCUCGUGUCGUGAGAUGUUGGGUUAAGUCCUAUAACGAGCGCAACCCUUACCCUUAUUUGCCAGCGGUUAGGCCGGGAACUAUAAGGGAACUGCCGGUAAUAAGCCGGAGGAAGGUGGGGACGACGUCAAGUCAUCAUGGCCCUUACGUGUAGGGGCUACACACGUGCUACAAUGGGAGAUACAGACGGUUGCUAAAGCGCGAGCUGGAG